Molecule: transfer RNA, 85 nt
Filed under: Ailuropoda melanoleuca (giant panda)
Lineage: Eukaryota; Metazoa; Chordata; Mammalia; Carnivora; Ursidae
Rfam family: tRNA
About the family: Transfer RNA (tRNA) molecules are approximately 80 nucleotides in length. Their secondary structure includes four short double-helical elements and three loops (D, anti-codon, and T loops). Further hydrogen bonds mediate the characteristic L-shaped molecular structure. tRNAs have two regions of fundamental functional importance: the anti-codon, which is responsible for specific mRNA codon recognition, and the 3' end, to which the tRNAs corresponding amino acid is attached (by aminoacyl-tRNA synthetases). tRNAs cope with the degeneracy of the genetic code in two manners: having more than one tRNA (with a specific anti-codon) for a particular amino acid; and 'wobble' base-pairing, i.e. permitting non-standard base-pairing at the 3rd anti-codon position.
Source: Rfam by way of RNAcentral
ACCUGUGGGGCUCAGUCGGUAAAGCCUCUGACUUCGGCUCAGAUCAUGAUCUCAUGGGUUGUGGGAUAGAGCCCCACUUCGGGCU